RNAcentral lists this long non-coding RNA (782 nucleotides) under Ananas comosus (pineapple). Its description in RNAcentral is "long non-coding RNA (ACOM_LNC039912)". Lineage: Eukaryota; Viridiplantae; Streptophyta; Magnoliopsida; Poales; Bromeliaceae. The record is from RNAcentral.
AUAGAUUAGGCACAAAUGCGGAAAACCCCCUGCAGUUCAUACAGUUCGGAUUCUGCCAAAGUGUACCGGUACACGGAAAAGUGUACCGGUACACAUCCUACGAAAAUGCGAACCCGAGGCUCGGGUUCGAAAUUUGCCACAAGUGUACCGGUACAACCAUCAAGCGCGUACCGGUACAAAAUGUGUACCGGUACGACCAUCAAGGGUGUACCGGUACAUCUUGUGCAGAAUGCAAUCCGAGGGUAGGCUAAGUCCAACUUUUUGGUGACCUUAGCGCUACAUAAAAUACUACAAUUCUCGGAAUACGUGCCAUAGGUCGGAACACUGCCAACGACCCACCAGAAAGUCUGGAAAGACUCGGGACACUGUCCAAACACUCGAACCCCGCAAUUUGCAAAGGUCCAGUGCGUCACAACCCUAGUGAUAGUGCUUCCUCACUUAGAGAGGAUUCGAUUGGGUAUUGACUCCAGUUGUAGAGCAUCCUCACUUGGAGAGGACUUGAUUGAGUUGUUGACCCUAGAUGUAGGGCAUCCUCACUUGGAGAGGAUAGAUCUAGCUCACAGUCUGCGUUUGGGAUGGUAUAGCCAUCCAAUCCUCACAUGGAGGGGAUUGUCGUUGAGUACUCCGGAGUGUCGCGCGACUAGGACCACUUGGAGGUCCGGACCAUAUGGAGGUCCGCAGACGGUCCCGGGCUUGGGUGCACUUGGAGCUCCCUCCCCAUUUUGGGAUUGAAAGGUGAGUCAUGGGCGAGCCCUAGGGCCUCGCCACAGAUUGGGUAAAUG